GACGAACGCUGGCGGCGUGCCUAAUACAUGCAAGUCGAGCGGACUCUUUGAAAGCUUGCUUUUAAAGAGUCAGCGGCGGACGGGUGAGUAACACGUGGGUAACCUGCCUGUAAGACUGGGAUAACUCCGGGAAACCGGGGCUAAUACCGGAUAAGCUUUUCCUACGUAUGGAGGAAAAAUAAAAGAUGGCUUUUGCUAUCACUUACAGAUGGACCCGCGGCGCAUUAGCUAGUUGGUGCGGGUAAUGGCCCACCAAGGCAACGAUGCGUAGCCGACCUGAGAGGGUGAUCGGCCACAUUGGGACUGAGACACGGCCCAAACUCCUACGGGAGGCAGCAGUAGGGAAUCUUCCGCAAUGGACGAAAGUCUGACGGAGCAACGCCGCGUGAGUGAAGAAGGUUUUCGGAUCGUAAAACUCUGUUGUCAGGGAAGAACAAGUGCCGUUCGAACAGGGCGGCACCUUGACGGUACCUGACCAGAAAGCCACGGCUAACUAC
Molecule: ribosomal RNA, 497 nt
Filed under: uncultured Bacillota bacterium
Lineage: Bacteria; Bacillati; Bacillota
Description: bacterial SSU rRNA
Rfam family: Bacterial small subunit ribosomal RNA
Source: RNAcentral